ACAUAUUCUGGAGCUUCAUUCAUUUAAAUAAAUUUAUUUAAAUUACUUUUAAGUCUAUAUUAAUAUUAUUUAAUAAUAUUAUGUUUGAAAUAUUUAACUAAACCCAUAAACUCUUUUUCAUUCAUUGCACCUUGAUCUAAUUUCAUUUAGUAAAAUUUUUGAUGGUAUUUUAUAAAAUACUUCUUAAAAUGACGAUAUACAAAUUAAUAAUAGAAAAAGUUGGAUUAUAUCGUGGAUUGUCGUUUAUUUUACAGGUUUCCCUAAUUAGAUUCAGAAUACCGUCAUAUUUUUUGGGUUUCA
This 300-nucleotide ribosomal RNA is filed under the name Parabathynellidae sp. (Pilbara) 16 EM-2019. RNAcentral describes it as "partial small subunit ribosomal RNA". Lineage: Eukaryota; Metazoa; Arthropoda; Malacostraca; Bathynellacea; Parabathynellidae. The record is from RNAcentral.